This is a non-coding RNA of Annulohypoxylon maeteangense, 102 nucleotides long. The record is from the annotation of a RefSeq genome assembly. NCBI's taxonomy places the organism in Eukaryota, Fungi, Ascomycota, Sordariomycetes, Xylariales, Hypoxylaceae.
GCCCGCUUGGCUUAGUGGUAAAGCGCAUCACUAGUACCAUGUACGAAACACUUCACAUUUAGUGUGAUGAUGAGAUCACUGGUUCGAUUCCAGUAGCGGGCA